AAUCAUCAAAAGCCCUUUUCUAUGAUCCUUUCGGUCGAGAAAAGGAUUUUGGACUUGGAGGAUCAAUGCUCGCUCUCACUUUUCGAAAGCGAGCUCCUCUCAAAUAAAUUAGUGGGGGUUUGCUUCGCCGAUCCUUGAUGUGAUAAGUCAUUUCUACGUUUUGGAUUUGGUGUCGUACCCGCUUCUAACCGUCCUAUGGACGUCUGAUGGUGUUCUGGUCACCACUGCUCUGUGUUGGUGGAGGGCUGGACCCACAAGAAAACC
This 264-nucleotide unclassified non-coding RNA is filed under the name uncultured Russula. RNAcentral describes it as "sequence contains ITS2". The record is from RNAcentral. Lineage: Eukaryota; Fungi; Basidiomycota; Agaricomycetes; Russulales; Russulaceae.